RNAcentral lists this microRNA precursor (104 nucleotides) under Haemonchus contortus (barber pole worm). Its description in RNAcentral is "microRNA hco-mir-993 precursor". Its record names the gene hco-mir-993. The record is from miRBase by way of RNAcentral. Lineage: Eukaryota; Metazoa; Nematoda; Chromadorea; Rhabditida; Trichostrongylidae.
CAUUUUCUGGUUGAUAAUCGUCCUACCUGAUAGUACGAGAUUGUUCCUAUAUCGAAAUAAGCUCGUCGCUACAGGCAGAAUGAAAGAAAGCCAUUGAUCGGUCC